ACUGCGAUCGAGACUGGUCGAAGAAGUUCUCCGACCUUCAAAAGUAGCUGCAGGAUGCUGAGGUGAACUACAACACCUAUCGAGUUGGCUGGAGCGGACAAGUAGAGGACUACCGAAGGAAGCUCCAGAUGGCGACCGACGAAGUUGCCCACCUUCGGAGGUAGUUGUCUGAGAGAGUCCAGCUUGCCUCCGCACAAGGCUUCGACGAGC
Molecule: long non-coding RNA, 210 nt
Filed under: Elaeis guineensis (African oil palm)
Lineage: Eukaryota; Viridiplantae; Streptophyta; Magnoliopsida; Arecales; Arecaceae
Description: long non-coding RNA (EGUI_LNC059029)
Source: RNAcentral